ACCUAGCGGCGGACGGGUGAGUAAUGCUUAGGAAUCUGCCUAUUAGUGGGGGACAACAUUCCGAAAGGAAUGCUAAUACCGCAUACGCCCUACGGGGGAAAGCAGGGGAUCUUCGGACCUUGCGCUAAUAGAUGAGCCUAAGUCAGAUUAGCUAGUUGGUGGGGUAAAGGCCUACCAAGGCGACGAUCUGUAGCGGGUCUGAGAGGAUGAUCCGCCACACUGGGACUGAGACACGGCCCAGACUCCUACGGGAGGCAGCAGUGGGGAAUAUUGGACAAUGGGCGAAAGCCUGAUCCAGCCAUGCCGCGUGUGUGAAGAAGGCCUUUUGGUUGUAAAGCACUUUAAGCGAGGAGGAGGCUACUUAGAUUAAUACUCUAGGAUAGUGGACGUUACUCGCAGAAUAAGCACCGGCUAACUCUGUGCCAGCAGCCGCGGUAAUACAGAGGGUGCGAGCGUUAAUCGGAUUUACUGGGCGUAAAGCGUGCGUAGGCGGCUUCUUAAGUCGGAUGUGAAAUCCCUGAGCUUAACUUAGGAAUUGCAUUCGAUACUGGGAAGCUAGAGUAUGGGAGAGGAUGGUAGAAUUCCAGGUGUAGCGGUGAAAUGCGUAGAGAUCUGGAGGAAUACCGAUGGCGAAGGCAGCCAUCUGGCCUAAUACUGACGCUGAGGUACGAAAGCAUGGGGAGCAAACAGGAUUAGAUACCCUGGUAGUCCAUGCCGUAAACGAUGUCUACUAGCCGUUGGGGCCUUUGAGGCUUUAGUG
RNAcentral lists this ribosomal RNA (760 nucleotides) under Acinetobacter johnsonii. RNAcentral's name for it is "bacterial SSU rRNA". It matches the Rfam family "Bacterial small subunit ribosomal RNA", at positions 90 to 845 of the family's 1533-position model. The record is from RNAcentral. Lineage: Bacteria; Pseudomonadati; Pseudomonadota; Gammaproteobacteria; Moraxellales; Moraxellaceae.